This 19889-nucleotide long non-coding RNA is filed under the name Gallus gallus (chicken). The record is from RNAcentral. Lineage: Eukaryota; Metazoa; Chordata; Aves; Galliformes; Phasianidae.
GUGAAGCUCAGAUGGCUGCAGGAGGCUGUGCUUGGCCCUGUGCUGCCCAGCACCAGCAGCUCCCGCUGGCAGAAGGUGGAAAUUGGCACGAGCUCUACAGGCCGUGCUGCUCGUGGCUGCUCUGGGAUGUCAGUGGAGGUUAAAAUAGGCACUGGGGUGCAACUUCAGGUUUGUUGGUUGGGUUGGUUUUUUUUUCACGCAUGUAAUAGUUGCCUUCUGCAGGAUCAUGGAAAAACAACAGUUUGCAAUUAUUUAUUUUUCUAAAUAUCCUGAGCAGAUGGGAGGGGAAACUUCCUCCUGCACGGAGAGGAAAGGAGGUCCUUGACUGCUAAAUAUAUCAAGUGUGUAUGCUUUAUUAAAGGCUUUUAAAAAUAUGGUGCAAAAUUGCAGCUCAAACUGUAUUUUGGUACUGGAAAAAAAGAGGCAGUGGGAAAUAGUUACUGGUAAAUCAUAUAGAUUAUUUGUUUUGAAGGCAGGUAUAUCUUUGAGAUGGGAGCCGUGAAGUUCUUUGUAUUGCAGGACAGAAAUCUGAAGAAGUUGAAAUUUUUUUGUCUUGAAAAUAGUGUUUAAAAAUUGAACGAUUUGAGCUGAAAUUGAGUUCAGAACAAAUGUCUGAGUAGGCAGCAACAAAAAGUGAAUGGCCGUAGUGGUCAUAUUUUAAAGGGACUUCAGUAGGGCGUUUGUGCAGGAUCCGUGUCCUUUCUGAAAAAUUGGUCACCUGAGGAGAAGAUGAGAUCUUUGGCUUUCCUGAAGCUACAGCUUGGAUUUACAUUGCUGGUUUUGCCGCUUGAGUGUUCUUGACAUUCAUUUCCUGUAUUUCUAAUCUGUACAAUAACAUAAUUUCAAAGACAAUUCUAGAACUUGAAGAUUCUCCAUAGUAUUUCAUUACCUUUGUCAGUAGGAUUCAGUAGAUUACGGCGAAGCAAAAUAUUUUAAAGCUUAUGCUAUUUACCUUCAGGAUUAAACAAGAUAAACAGCUUACAGUGUUCCCAUUUGCACAAGUCACAGUAUUUUUAAACCUGCUGCCUGUAAUACCGGGUUGUUUAUCGGGGAAUGCAGUUAACCUAAAUGUUGUAUUGUGGCUUCUUUCUGAUUCAUGUGGAUAUAAUUCUCAAAAGCAAAAUGUUUGAUCCAUAAGCCAAAAAAUAGCUUCUAAAAUGUAUUUAGGGAGAGGAAGUCAUUUUGGUACUAAGCAUACUCCCUUUUUCCUGGACAGCUUGGGGAAAACAACAUAGCUGUGUAUAGUAGUAAACUGAUUCCAUAGCUCUAUGCUUUUCUUCUGGAAUUUUGCAAUUUUCCUAUUUUAGGAACAGUGCCAGGUAGAUUAUGAGUUCUGAUGUUACGGACUUGAUAUGCUUUCAUAGCAAGCUUAGCUGUUGCAUUCUAAAAUGUGUUUUUACUUUGUGUAUGAGAUGUACGGUGAUGUUAAGAAAGCAUUCUGAACCUACUUCCUUUAAAAUGGGAUUUUGUUUUGGUAUUCUUACCUAAUAGAAGUUUUGUUUUCCUGCUAUUUAGGAUUGUUUCUGUUGGUGGAAGAGGUAGACAUUAGUUGAAGGAUUUAAAUUGUGUGUUGCUUGUCAUUGUUAAGUUAUUUUGGGGGUGAAUGGAUGGGCAGUGGUUAUUUGCACCUGUGGCUGUCUUAGCAAAACGCCCGUGUUCUCUUUAGUCAUCUGUUUCUAGAAUGAGUUGUUAAAACUUAGAAACUAUUUUAUCAAAUAAUUUUAUCUAAAAUAUGAUUUAUUGCCUGAUUUGAGUGCUGGUGCCUGAUUUGAGUGCUGGUGUUUGUUCAUUUGUUUGUUUUCUACUACUUUUAUCUAUAAUCAGUAGAGUAAUGCUUUCAAAGGACAGCAUUAAGAUCUUAGUACAGAACUGCCUCUCCUUCCACAUUUACUACAGAGGGAGCCCACCACAGUCCCUGUUACGGUAUUACAGCAUCCCGGUUUGAACUGAAUUAAGCUCUUGCUUCAGAAGUUCUUACUGCAUUAGUAAACUGAAUAGGUUUCCAUUUAACGUGUGGGAGGGAAGAGAGUUGGAGGAAGAGGGAAGACUUACAUGGCUGUUGGUGAAGAAGAGAGGGUGGCUGGGGAGCAAAGCAUUUUCUUACUGGUGCUGGAAAGCUGGUAGUUGACUCCACAAUUGAUAUGAAACUGUCUGCAAAGUGUCUGGAGAUAAGUAAUGUGUUCCCUCCCCCUUCCACCUUGCUAUUCGUACAGUUGGGUCUUUAAUAUGUAAGCAAGAAACAGAUUUUUCUUUAUUCUUCCCUUCUACUUAUAUACGCCUAGGACAAAUUAAAAUUCCAGCAGCGUCAGUAGUAGUGAUAGUGAUAUAUUUUAAUAUUGCAAUAGAUGCCUGAACAAUCUGUUUUCAUUUUAUGUCUCAUGAUAAUUUCAGAAAUGAAGGUUGCAGGAAAAAAAUGAAAAUCAUCUUUUUUGUAUUAUCAAGAACUGGUUUUUAGAUAUGUGUGGCCCAAGAUAAAACAAGGCUACUCAAGAUCUGAACGUACACUGAACUUGCUUUUGAUGCUCAUUACAAACUUGUAAUGGCACUACAGUGUAUAGUCAGUUGUCAAUUUGCAUCUGUCUGUGAUGGGGUUGGCAUAGUUGCUCAUGGCAACUGAAAUUGCAGGUUCCUUGCUGGUUUUGCUUGGAAGAUAUGAUAUCUCUAUUUUACUAGCAUAUUGAGAAUGAUUUUCUUGAGUUUCAUUAUUUGCAAAGGAUAUUUUUUGUUCAUCUUUUUUUUUUCUACAUCUUAAAUAACCUGAUGAAGAUGUUAUUUUAGUAGGUGCUGUUAACAUCAGCCAGUUUUCAUAGGAAGCAGUGCAUCAGUAGCUAAAGAAGUGUGUAGGGAAAGAUUAUGUAUGUUGAGUUUUGUGUUCUUAACUGGAGGCUCAUUUAAGAUGCUAAUCCUCAAGGUGUGAGCGUCAGGGCAUUUUGUAAAUCAGACUUAGCAGGGUCUGCUACAGACAGCUGCUAAGAGUAAUAACGCCCCUACAGACUUGGAAAAAUCUUGUGAUAUAGAUUUAUUGGUAAACAUUUAGACUUUUCUAAGAAACAAGUAGAUGAGAAGUACAGAGGUGAUGCAUCUGUAAAAUAAAUACUUUCAGGCCAGCUUCGUGCUGACACGAUGGGAUUGCUUUCUCCAUGACUGGGGCUAGCUGGUGUCUUGCUGCCAGUAUUUUUAUACCUAGUGCUCCUUUUGCAGUGCGCACCAGCCUCGCUUCUUCUGUUGGAUAGUAGUGUUAUUCCCGUGGAAUUUAGUGUUUGUGAGUCUUACAGCUGAGCAAGCUUUUUGCUACACAGCGUGGAAUAAAGGGAAGCUGCGCCCUGUGUCAGAGCAGAGAGUUAAUACAGGUUUAAGUUUCUUCAUAGAUAUAUAUAGCAGCAGUUGAAAACAAGAUAUACUUUUUGUAAGUACUGAUGAAUGCUGAAGUCUUCUUCUGAAAAUGAUGUAUUUUUCGUUAAAUGUAAUACUGAUUAUGUGUGAUUCUCCUACCAUAAGUAAAUUCCUUGAAGACCAAGGUAAUGCUUGGAAAAAAAAAUAGAAAAUUGCCGUAAAGAAUGAUUGAAAUGAUUGAAAUGAGUGUAAUUUGGGGACACUACUUGGAGACACUGUAGCUAUUUCAUUGGAGUUUUUAAAAAUAAAUUUUAUUUUAAAGGUGAUGUGCAACUUAAAUAAAAAAUGGGAAGUGUGUUCUAUUUUAAAUGUUAAUUAAAUUCAUGGAAAACAGAAAGGCAACUGAUGGAUAGAAGGGUGUUACGACCUUGUGGAAAACAGAAGGUAUUUAGGAUUCUAAUAAGCACUGGUGGCAUUUCUGUACUAUAGGCCUUUCUGUUUUGUUUAAGAGGUCUUGAAGUAACAUUAAUAAUUGUGACCUAUUUUUAGGUUUAGUUUGUCUUUUGGAAAAUGGAAAAUCCCAUAUGUGAUGUAUAUGAAACCUUUCUUACGUUGAAGAUGUGAGGAAAGUUUCAGGGUUUUCUGAAGAGACACAUUCACAGAUUGAGAGAAAGAGAUUAUAAUUGCAAUUUUAUGGCUUAGUGAAAUUUGUAAGUAGCAAAUGUGAUGUAAAGAAAGGUAACCACAUUUUCUUCACGUGUGUGAGGCCAUCCUCUGUAUGCAAUUUCUGCACUGCCAUUUGUUGUGCGCUUCAUGGUUAGUUAAUGUACCUUGGGCACGUUAUAAAUGCAUGUCUGGCAUAUCAGAAUAUGAUUUAUACUGUGUAAAUCAUAAAUACUUUAUUCAGUGUUUUCACUGCUCAUUACACAGACUCUUCUAGCAGCACUUGAGAGGGUAAAUGAAUUCUCUUAAGACCUAAAUGCUGUCAUCAGCGAGAUCUACCUGUUUACAUUCUGUAGGAGCUGUACAUGGAGUGCUUUUUGAAGGAAUAAUCCACUGCAUGAAUAAAGAAUAUUCAUGUCUUUGUCAAGCUGAAGUUUAUAAUAAAUUCUAAAUCAAGUAAAAAUACUGUUGGUUUUUUUGUUUUGUUUUGUUUUUAGUGAAGCAGCCUCCUGAACUUAAACAUCUUGUCUCAAAGCAGCAGUAUUAAUAAUUCAGUAGGGUUAAAAGAGAGGAUUGCUUUUUGACAGUUUGUAAUUAUUCAAAGUCAGUUGAGUUUAAAGGGGGAAGAGAACUCUGUAUGAAUUGGCAUGCUGAAAUUAACCUGCCCUGUUCCGUAGUGUGGGAUGUACUGUUUUAUCAGAACGGUGUAGCGUAAUGGGAUCAGCUUCUAAAAUUCAGUCCAGCUGAGUGAAAAAGCUGCAUCUUGAAGGUGUUUUUAUUUGUACAGUUAGAUCGGGACGAUCACUGGAACUGAAAGUGAAGACAAAGGCCCUGUUACACAAGGUCACAGACUGGCUGGUGGCAGCUGUCGCGCUGUGGCAGCUGGGCCGGCCUGGUGCUGGGAGCAGGCCCUUGUGCGAUAGCUGUGCCACGGAGCACAGUUCCCAGAGCAGGCUGUCGUUGUCGUUGGAGAGUAAAAGUGCUUUGAGGUGAAUGCUGAUUUACUGCAGCCUCCAAAAGCCAUGCUCACGUGUACAUCAGUUGGUAGGUUGCCCUACAUGAGUAUUUAGCAUGACAGUUUGGAGGCCGUGCCCAAGAAAAACGUUACAGAAUAUAUGGUAUGUGUAAAAGUAAAAAAAAUUUCUUAGUAGUGUUACAUAUUAAAGGUUAACAGUAAUGAUCUUCACAGCAACAAAUUUUUAAAUAUUGUAUAUUUAAGAUGCUGGCAAACAUUAUCUGUAAACUGCUAAAAGGUCAGACAUAAUCCUAGUCUUUUUGCAGUGUUCUUUAAAGACUGACGUGAUAUAAUGCUCUCUGAAGAAAGUAAGAAAUUUCCUGUGUGUUUUAUAUACCAAUAUGAAGUGGCUCUUUUUAUGCUUAGGUGUUUCCUUAAUUAAAUCCAAAUGUCUGAAUAAAAGCUAGUACAUUUGUGUUGUUCUGAUACUUUUAUUCAUAAAGUUGUGAUAUGAAACACGAACAAGAGCUUGCCUUUGCUGUGUUAGACGGGGCUCUUGAGUAGAAGAUUUAUAUGUGACAUUAUCCUCUGCAGAUCCAUGGGGAAAUUCGAUUGUAAGCCAGCUCUGGUGGCACAGGUAAAUGUUUUUGGAGAAAAUAUGGAUCAGUUUGUGAGUGUGCAGUUUGUGGUUGUACUGAAGCUGAACAAACUUGAGUAAUUGUUUUUUCCCUACUGGACUGUACCAGAGUUUGAACAUAAAGGUAGAUUUUUGGAAACGUAAACUGGAGGUGGCUGUGUGUGGCACUGACUGCUUUCUUUAGCCUUAUCCCACAUGGUACGUUUUCCAUGUGGUUCGGUUGUUGUGAGACUGGAGUAGAAGGAUGGCACCUCCCGUGGCCUACUGUCCCCAGGCACUUCCCUUCUCUCUUAACUUCACUGGAGGAGCUGUCCCAGGGUAGAACUGCAGUCAGCGUGUAGAGUAUAUAGGACUUCUCCAUCUUACCUCAGUUAUUUGCUCAGAAAGUGUCUGCUGUUGGUGCUCAUGGACCUAAAUGGUAAUAGGUUCAAUUGUUUGUUGUUCAUUAAACAUGUAUGUUCAAAAGAAUUGCAUGGUUUCGAUUUAUACUCAGUGAUAAAGUACAGUGUGUCUGUGCUGUUAACAUAAUGAAUGGGAGAUGGCUAAGUCUUUCAGUAGUCUUGAUGAGUAAGUUGGUAAUUCAGACAGAGGAUACUUACUGAAGUUAAUAAUUAUUAAGUCAUUGGAAUUGAUUCAUUACAAGCCUAAUUAAUAAGAAGCCUUUAUUAUGUACUUAGCCAUCACACCCUCAUUAUGUUUUACUGAAUGUCAGAACAAUAUGUGAUAGAAGUAUUUUGAAUGAUUUCUCAAGUAUCAUAGUAAGCUGUGAAACACAAAAUGCCAACCCUGUAUGCUAUAGCAAAACUUGUUGCUUUUUGAGCUUCUUGGGCAAAUUCAUUCAGUAUGUUUUUUUGCUGGUGAACUACAAUAGGAAUGGAUUUCCAGGAAUAGUUUGUUGAGUAGUAGGUAGAAUAAUACCUUCUGUUUGUUUUGGUAGUACUGGAGAGACUUUGAUCCUUACUCUUGUUUUUACUUUGUUGCGAACAUCCUGAUAUAGGGAGGGUUACCACAGUGGUUAAACUGUGCAUGAGAAAUAGGAAGUUCAGCAAGACUUCUUGCUAGUAUGAAAGCCACUGUCUGUCCUCAGGUUAUUUCUCUCCCUGUUUUUUUAUUUGUAUUUUUUUAUGUUCGCUUUGCUCUGUGUUAUAUUGAGGAAAAUACAGUUUAUAUUUUGAAAAAGGGAUACAAAAUAUAGAGUGUAUUUCAAGUGUUCAGGAAUCAUCAGAUUUGGCUUAAAAAGUCUACUUGGCUUCAGUGUAUACCACCAGCUUUGGUAUCCAGCGUCUCUGUAGUUUAAUGGUUUCUAGAUUCCAGUCUGAUAUUUUUUUUUUCCAAAAGCUUUGUUCUUUCUACCAAAAAGAGUUUAAUUUGAUCUGCUAUAUUUUGAUAUUUUGUAUCAUCUUGCUGUGAGAUAUAUAUAUUUGCCUUUUGAAAGGUUAAUUUGCUGUAUAUUGAAACCUUUAAUCCGCUAAAUAUCUCUUCUGCUUGACUUUUGUACUCAUCUGUUACACUCUCAUGUUGAAUGGUAAGUAAGGACAAACCUAGUCUGGUAGGAAACUGGAUAUGUGGUUUAUGUAACUUUAUUAUAAUAGAUUGGUGCAACAUGCAGAAAGUAUGUGUAGCAAGAAUAGACUUUAAAAUUGUUGGUCCCGCUAUUUCUUGCUUUGUGAAUCAGACUAUAAUGUUUGUUGUAAAAAUUUAGUAGUAACAUGUAUUUGAACAGUAAAUCAAUGAUAAUGUUAUUAACACUGGUAAUUGCAGAGUCUUUAAGGGGAUACUAAGAUCUCUAUUGUGUAUAGUCACUGAGUGAGCAGGAGUUUUGGAAGAUGUGCGUAGGGGAAAAAGAACAGCUCCUGUGAGGAUGCCCUGGCGAUGACAUUGUGUCUGUCUGGCAUUCAGCCUGUGAACUUAGCAUUUUUCUUCCUCUGAGAAAUAGUGGGGGAUAGGUAAUAAAUUCUGCACUAGUUUUCAAAUUUUUCAGUUUCAGUAUUUAGAUCUUUUUUCUAAUGGGCUGUCAGAGAGCUGCAUACUUACUUACUUCAGCUCAGAAGUCAAGUUUGCAAACACCUUAAUUUGUUCUGAGCCCCACCGAAGGGAGCAGGUGCUCUUCAGGCAUCACUUUUCCAAGUGCAGUGUAAAUGUAUUGACGCAAGUCCUCCUGUGGAUCUAGCUGAGGACCUAGCAAGUGGGGAGGCACACAAGCUGUCUAGAGUUGUCUUCGUAUAUUCAGUGUGUAUUUUUGUCUAGUCACUGACACUUCUUAGAGCUCUCUUAAGCUUAUUCCAGGUGCAGACUGGUUCUUGGGAAGGCACUCGAUCUAUUUAUACAGAAUUGAUGUUGCAUGAGGGAGGUGUAAAAGAGAUUCUUCUUAUGGCGUUAAUUAGAAUUGAUGGAAGCGUAUCAUAGGGAAAUUAGGUACUGGGAAAAAAAAGGUAUCUUCAUGCUUCAUUUAUUUCAGAUUUGCCUUGGUAACGUUUGAAUGCCUUUGCUUUUUUGCUGUCAAAAUGUCACUAUUUGGAUCUUUCCCAAUGUUUUCAUUCUACUGAUAGGAAACAGAAGGGAAGGAACUAAUUGAUAUUAGUCUGGAAAACAUGUUCUGAAUAAAAGUACAAGCAUUUGUGCAUUCUCAUCCUCAUCCAGAUUUCGAGGGUGUGAGAUAUGUGACAACAGGAGCAUCGUUCUGGGAAUGCAGUUAGGUUUCUUGGGAGGCCAAAAUGAGUUUCCUUCCUUACUGCUACCAAACGAAAGUGCUCAUACUUCUCUUGUUACAGAUUCUCUUAAAUUGUUGCUUUGUAAUGAAAAGCUUGUCUUGCUAGCUCGUUAGUAAUUGCUACCUCCUACUCUCUUGUCAGCAGGGGGUAGGAUUGCCUCCUACACCCAAGAAAAAAAAAACAACAUGAAAAUUAGAUUGUGAUAGAGGCUAAAUUUAAAAGAAAUUUGAGAAGAAAUAGGCCAGGCUAAUCUUUCAUUCUGCAAGAGGGCCAUUUUUUCUGUAGAUACUAAGUGAAGAAAAAAAACAAAAAAAUCCAUCAUUUUCAUUACAGUGGUAUCUUUGCGGGUCCAAGCAACUCCUGUGUUACUGGGCAGAGAACAUUUCCAAAUAGGUUGGGUUUGCUAACAUUUACUGGCAUUCCAUAUUUGAUAAGGCUUUUCAAAGUGGAAAGCUUUCUGCAGUUCAGAAGCAGUUGCACGUGAUACCUGAUUGCCUCACAGCAAGAGGGGAAGGUGCUUCUGAACUUCAGGAGGAGUGUAAGCUGUGAAAGCUUGUAGAUGGUUGUGCUUUCACAAUGGGACAGUAUAGGCAACCACACUUCAAACAAAAACAUGAGAGGAAAGUUUGUCAAAACUCUGCUGUGAUGACUCAUGCAUCUUUUUCAUCAUCUCAGAUUCUGUCUGCGCUGCAGUCACAGCAGUGAAAAUAUGAUGGUAGCUGUUAAAUAUUGGUUUGCAUGCUGCUACCCACAGCAGCAGUUCCUUGAAAUUAGUUGUGAAAAAUGUUAUAAAUCUUUCUGUGUAGCCUUCCAGUAUUUCCUCUCCAUUACUUGAAUUUUUUUAUUCCCUGCAGAUUGAAAGCAUUUCCCUUACACUUUUUCACAUUCCAUUUAACUUUAACGUUCAGUGACUAUGGGAAAUGUUUUUGUUUUUUCAACAAUUAAUCUGUUCUUCAGUCUGUGUCUGCAGCUGAUUGGUGAAUAUUUAUUCCCCCUUCCUGUCAGUUUGCUGCUUUAACUGUAGAAUACAAUAUACACAUAUAGAAUAAAACUAACACGUAUAGUGGUCGAGUUUGGGUGCUUGACUGGCAUGUUGUGGUUGAGGCUUUGUGAAGCACUGGCUUAUUUUGAAACCAUGGGUUUUAUUGGAUGUAGUCACCUUUUGUCAUGGUUGUUCAGAAUUAAUAUGAAUGUAUUCGACUGUCAUAUUGAAAUAAAGAAUAACUGUAUGAUUUAUGGGAAAUAAUAUUUGAUGAUCCUCGUAAUAUUCCUUCCAUUGUGUGUAGUGGUUUUUUUCUUGUGGGAGUAGACAGCUUGUAACUUCCUUAUGUAUUCAGGUGAACAUAUGAGCUUAAGUGGUCACACUCUCUUUGAAUCAUCAGUGAGACUUACGUUAUAAAACAGGUUGUGUGGCAUUACUGACACUUAAUUCUACUGAACUAGAAAAUUGCUUGUAAAUGCUUGCCUUCAGACCAAGCCUUCCUGUUUCAGCAUCUGGAAAAUCAAGUCACUGGUUCCCAACAAUUCACUUUUGUCUUUUUUUUCCUUUAAUAAUUUGAUUAUUUUGCCUAUUUCGUAGAUACUAAGUGUCUACAAGUACAUGGACAGUUAGUAUGAAUCGACUUCUGUGUCGUCAGUCAGGUGGCAAUGCUGAGAUGAAAGCUGAUAUAGAGGAGACAAGUAAUACUCAUCAAGUAAGAGCACUGUCCAAGUGUGCAGAAUAGGACUAUUACUUAUUUGCAAUCAAAUGACUUCUAAAAAAUUUUCAGGUUAAGAUUUAAUGCUAAGAAGUUUUUUUGAGUCUCCAGUUUAUUCGGUAGAUACAUAUUGAUUUGUAAGAAUGGUGGCUGAUAAAGGAAUUGAUUCAGUAAUUCAGAUUUGCUAUUAAUGUUCAAUCUACAGAGUUACUCUGCUUUAGUUUUUCUAGCCAAUCUUUAUUUUUCAAAGGACAUUACUAUGUACAUCUUUGCUGUGGUCUGUGUUCGUGUCUUCAGCUGUUCUUCAAGACAACUUACUUGUUUCAAGUUUAAGAACUUCAGAAGAAUGAUGUGGGGUUUUAUGUAUUUUCUGUAUGUCCUGAAAAGGGUAGCAUUUCCUACGUAAUUCACUUAGUGUCUGUCAAUGUUAAAUGGAGAUCUGUGCAGUUCUUUGAAAAAGCUCAGCUCUUAAAGUAUUUGUCAAGAUUUCUGCCAUGUAGUAGAUCAUUCUUAAUGCUUUCAGUGGAAUCCUCAGUCACUAAGUACUGUGUAGUUCUUUGGAUGUCAGGUCUUUAUUUGGCUUUACCUGCUUGGCUGUAUGAACAUGCUUUUUUUACAAACAGAUAUUUGAUCCUGGACAGAGUUGGAAAACUGGUAUUUCACAUAUUUUGUGCAAUGGCAGAUCAGCUGUCACAUACAAGGAAGGGUAAAUUAAAGAACAGAAAUGCAUGUUGAAGUACACUCAUUUUAAAACUAUGGUGGUGUAGUGGUGUGGAUUUUAUACAGGCAUUCUUAUAUCAUCUUAUAAACGUAUGCAGUUGAGAAAACAACGUGGUCUUAUCUUGAAUGUGAACCUUCUGAUUCUGUAGAGAUUGUGGAACAGAUGAGAUUUAAAUCCAUUGUCAGCGUUUUUUCUUAUUUUGCUUGAAAGGUGUAGGGUUUUUUUUUGUCAUUGUUUUUACUUCAGAAAGUCAAGCUCAACUUGCAUGUGGUUUGCAGGAGCUUUAUGGUUUUCCUUUUUUGAAUGCUGCAGUGGGGCAGCUUCAAAAAAAAAAAAAGAAAAAAAGGAAAAUGAGGAAGAGAAACAGCACAUAAAGCCCCUCUACCUUGAAGGCAUCAUCAGGAUUCUGAAAGCUUGCUUGAACGGAAUCUAGAUCAGAGCAGAAGCAACUGAAAAGUGUUUUGAUGUGCUUUCAUUGUUGGAAUAGCAAAAUGGUAACUUCUAGGUAUUAGUGUUAGAUUAUUCGGUUAUACAAGAUAAAAUAAUUAUAGAUGAGAUAAUGGGGGAAAAAGAUGGAAAAAACUGAUCCUAAACCCAAGUUCAUGUGUUAUGCUUUGAUGUUGGGAUUUUAGUUGAACUUAAAUCAUUAUAAACUGUCCUAAAAUAAUCAGGACAGAAGUAGUUUUGGUGUUCUUGGCUCACGCACCACAGUAUACUACAUGUACAUGUUAUAAUACUGUAACGUGUGUGUUUGAUUAUUAUGCUUAAGUGUUCUGACCAUAUCUCAUGUUUCAGCUCCUCGAGAACUUCUCAUUUGAGCAUUUAAUCCAGGUUUGUCUACUGCAUGACUUAAAAUGAUGGCUGCCAAAAACUGAGGAUGGCUGUGUAUCUCUGUCCAGAGAAAAUUCUUCCUCGAAGGCUAGUAUAUAGGUGUAUCACUUACGUUAUUCUUUUACAAAAGUACCAGUUUGGGAUUGUGUGCUUUUUAACAGUAGUCCUGCAAAUACAGUGAAGGAGAGUACAUAUUUUUUUUCCAAUGUUCACGUUAAUAUUUUUUCUUUAAAAAAUUACCCACUUAUAUUGUAAUUAUGAACCUGUCCACCUUCAGGGAUGAAAGCAUCAGGUAGCUGGUUAAUGUAUUAGCUGGUCUGUAUUGCAAAACAUUUUUUCCAUUCUUUUAGGUGUCUGUUGUGUAGCCACACUUGUACUCUGAGUAAUAAUAUAUUCAUUUCUAAGUUGGAUCUAAACUCUUUCUUGCUCUUCACUGAAGUUAAAAUAGCGUUUAAAAAAAAAAAAGUCUGAGAAAAUGAACAGAAAAGUCUCUACUCACAGUAUAGCUUUCAACUGUACCUUAUAGCCUUUACACAGGAAUAAGAAUUUCUGUAGCUUCCAAGAAAUCAGUUGUGUCAUUAACAUUUAGGCUUAAGGACUGUGUAAAGCUGUUGAGUGUAUUUCUCUGAUUGUAAGGAUUUUAAAAAAUUGUUGCAGGUUAGUAAUUGAUAAUAUUUGAAAUUUUAAUUAUAAUUGCUGAAGAACAAGGGACGAAUAUGCAUCGUGACAACUGAAUUAUGUAAGAUAUCAAAUUUUCCUGUCAAAUUGUCUGAGUCACAUAUUUCUCUCAUUUUUUUAAAAAAAUUUUAUUUUGUUGAACGUAUUUGAAAUUGAAAAAACUCCUAUGCAGAGAGCAAGGUAAUUAGAAAUAAUAGCACACUUCAGUAUUUUUACUUGAAUAGUUUCAGCUGCAUGAAUUUUAAAUUGGCCGUCUAGUUUAAGGGGCUGAAUGCACGUGCUGAAGUCAUUUAAUGGCUGCCUAGUGAUCUUCAUAGCUGAGAGAAGUACUUUAAUCUAAUGUGCAAAAGGAAAUAUGCAAAAACAUCUGUAUUUAAAAAUGUAGAUGAGAACAGUUCACAUUUUUUUUCUAGCAAACUGUUUAUAACGAUAGAAUACAUGAUAAUGAAGAAGUUUGGGUCAGUGAAACUGAAUUUAUAGCCUGAAGUGAUUUACUUUUGCUUUCGAAUAUGUCUGAUUUAAUGAAUAGAACAAUGCAAUACAGUACUUUGCAAUGUGUUGAAAAUGUUAGCUAGGCUAUGGAAGCAAGAAGUUUGUGUUUCUCGUUCUUUGUAAGAGUUGUCUUCCUAUACUAGCUUCAUUAUGGAAAUCAUGGCAUUUCUUUCAUUCUUCCUGAAAAGUAAUGGAAUUGUUAUCAAUUUACCUGCAGGGGAUGAGUAAAGAUGAAUAUUCAACUGCUUUGAAUAUUACCUUAUUUCUAAAUAAAACAAGAUUUCUGUUUGGAGUUGGAUGGCUUUUGAUAAAUUGUUCUUAGAUUUUUAUUCUUCAGUUUCCAUGGCCCAACUUCUGGUUUUGUCAUACUUCUGCUCCGUCUUUGAAGAUUGGAUAAGUGAACAGAGAACUAAGACUUGCAUGGUGAAUUUGUGUCUCUGAAGAAUGAGGCCUAUUUCAGUUGUCUCAAUAGAUAAUAUUCCUUUGCUAAAAUGAUUUUCAGACAGUAACCCUUCAUUGAUGUAAGGCUUCAUAUAUGUAGUAAAGGAAACUGGAGAUUUUUGAAGCUCUGGAGGUUUUGUCUCUCACUGUCUUUAAUGAUUAAAAUCUGACAUAUACACGUGAGUGUUCUCUAAUUGGAUGUUGAAAAUCCCUAGCAUAUUUUGCUAGGGAUAGAGCAAAAGUGAUAAUAAAUAUUCAACCUUUCCUGGAUAUUUUUUUUAAUAAGAUUUCACAAUGGCAGAUUAGCCCAGGUUUUAUUUCAUUCAUUACUCUUAUGUGUCCUUAAGAAUCACUUAUCAUGGACUCACAGAAUGGCCUGGGUUGGAAAGGACCUUAAAGAUCAUCCAGUUUCAACCCCCUGCUGUGGACAGGGCUGCCACCCACCAGCUCAGGCUGCCCAAGUCCCCGUCCAACCUGGCCUUGAACACCUCCAGGGAUGGGGCAGCCACAGCUUCUCUGAGCAACAUAUCCCAGUGCCUCACCAUCCUGUGAGUAAAGAAAUUCUGCCUAACACCUAAUCUAACUUUCCCCUUGUUCAGAUUAAAGCCAUUCUGCUAUGUCCUGUCACUAUCAGAGCGCGUUGGAAGUCUGUCCCCCUCCUGUUCAUAAACUCCUCUCAAGUACCUCUGAAUUAACAACCUCUUGAAGCUGGACAUUUUACAGAUACACGGCUAAUGUUGGCAGUUAAGUAAAAAGUCCUAAUCUUCACAGUGAAUGGAGGAGAGAAUGGUAUCUUGAUUGAAUGCAUCGAUUUUUGCUAAGACAAAGCCUUAGUUUCAGGAUAGUCCUGUGAAAUAAUAGACGCCAUUAUUAAACAUUUCUUUCCUUUAAAAUUGUGAAAACUGCAAUAUACGGGUUUGGAAAGCAAAACUUCCUUAUUUUACUUUGAAUCUAUGUGAGUAUAUGCAAAUUUCAGUAAACUUCCAUUCACAGAUGAAAUUUGAAGCAGGCCUUUUGGUCUCUGAGGUGUGUUAUGUUGGCAUAAUGGUGCUCCUGGGAUUUGGUACAGUUCUGAUGUCUUCGGUGGAAAAAUAAUUAGGUCAGUGGUAGGAGAUUUAAAAAAUAAUAAUGAUAAAAAAGCAUAAAGCAUUUACGAAAGCAAAUAAUGGUGUGAAGGUUUCUUUGGAAGCACUUCAUUUCAGUGAUGCCUGUGGUAAAAUUGUUUUGUCAUCGGUUGUGCUCCAGAGCUCUGUACAGCCAGUCCUACCCCAGCUGCCUGUACCUUGGAUCACUGCUCCACCUCUAGUUAUAGCAGAUUUGUUCUUAAUGCUCACUGUGGGAUCACCCAUCAGUGCCAACUUGAUCUAGAUAAAGCAUCGGCAAAUAAUAGCACUUCUGUUGACUUGAUCAGAACACACCAGCCUGUUCCUUUUCAUCUUUGGGAUGGCUGUGGUAGGACAGAUGAUUACUUACAAAGUGUUUGGAAGAGAUUUGUGCAGAGAAGCCAGAGAGCUGUGGUGCUCUGCAUCAUGUGAAUGUAUGGGGCUUUGAUCUAGUAAUUAAGCAGGCUAAUAACCAGUAUAGGCUUAAGAUUUAGACCAAGUCUCUGUCAUAAUUUUCUACUUCUAUGGGUGGGAGAACUUGUUGCAUGUAGCUUACUCUAGUCCUUUCUCUCUUGUUUCUAAUUACUUUGUGAAUCGACUCUGCUUUUUUCUCCUCUCUUGACUUCUUAUAGUUUGUAUAUGUCUUCCAUUCAUUGCCAAUUGCAGUUCAGUGCUGAAGCAUCAUUCUCCAGUGGCUUUAGUUGCUUUAUAAACAUCAAAUUAUUUUUAGCCAUAAGAAUUCUUUCGUUGCAACUUCUUUUUGGAAACCUGUGUAUUCUGCAGUGACUUCCCUAACAACCUUUCCUGUACAGCUUCUGACUUUUUUUUUCUUUUUCAUAUUUCCAUUUCAUCUGAUCAGAGGUAGUACUGAUCAGAUGAAAUGAAAAUAACUGAUACGUUUUUUUCCUCGAUGGCUACAUGAUGAUAGAACUGCAUUCUCUUCAGUAGCUCACAGGCUUUAAUUGAAUACCAAGAAGCGGAAUGGGCAAUUGAAGUAGCUUCUACAUAAAUUAUAAUGUGGGCAGUGAGGAACAAAUUAGAGCUGUUAAACACUAAUCUUUGAACUGGGGUUAGCGUUGUGUUUUGGUCUUUGUAACCUAUGUGGUUUUUGUGUGCUUCCUUGGUUGCUUGCUACUUCCAUAGAUUUCUGUAUCAGGUUUCUCUGAGUUAUCAGUGUUCUUUUAUCUUUGUUUGAUUUCAGUACAUCAAGAUAGUAUGUAUUUGGGUUUGUUACUUCUCUGGAAAUUGAAAUGGAUUAAAUCAUUAUUUAACAACAUCUAAUUUAGCAAAUUCAGCCUGGAUUCUUGGAAACCACCUUUAUUUUCAAUAACUGAGUAUGCUUUAUAUUUUUUGUGUGUAAAGCAAAAGUGAAUGCACUUCUGCAGUGUCAGAGGGCACUUCGUGUGUACCAUGUUUGCUGCCGUCAGCAAUUUCCUGUUACAGCUUUUUUCUCAAUAAUGUUAGUGAAUUAAGAAGGGAAGUCUUUCAUAAUCAGAUAAAAAUUGCUGUGUGCCUUCUUCCUUCAUGUUCAGUAACUACGUUUUUGACACUGCUUCCAAUAACAAAGAUAGCUAGGUUGUAAAGAGCACGGUUCUGUUAAUUUAUGAAAUAAUUCUGUAAACAUUUGUCUUUUUAUUAUUAUAUUAUGACAUCUUUAUAGUUCUGUAGUCUAUUUUAUUGCCCACUUUUAGGUUCUCAUAAUUUAGCCAAUAUCCUGAGCUCUUCAUCAGCUUUUUAUUGGAGCCUCUACCAUAUAAUAAUAAUCCAUUCAUAAAGGUGGAAAGUGUAGUUAUUGGGAUGGUCUCAGAGUUAAUGAAGAGUUAACAGAACGUAUUGUAGGAGUACCUGCAAGUACCUCAUUAGAAGUCUUGAAAUUUUCUCAUUAGUAUUUUGAGGGCAGCAGGGAAAAUUAAGCUAAAGUGAUUCUGUUGAAGCUCCAGAAUGAGGACUUCUUGGCUGAAGUAAAAGAAGAAAAUCUUAAAAACCCUUUGGUGGGAUCAGUUGUCAUGCAGAAUGUACGGCUGAUCAAAUAAAGGGAAGAGGAGCCUGUCACCCCACAGUCCUUCCCUCACAAGGAGUCUUACAGUCUCUGGGUACCAUACCUUUAUGGUGAAAGAGUUGCUGAGGCGGUGAAGGUCAUGUAGAGGAGCCAGGAAGCUUCCAGAUUAUGUCAAGUUAUCUUACCUAAGUACUGUUUUUGUGCUACUCUGGUAAAAAUCCUUUCAAAAAGUGUACCUUGAGUCCUUUCUUAUGGAUAGACCUGGAUCAGAAACAGACACUGGAGGAACGAUAUCGUAACUAGAUUAUUUUGUGCUUUUACGAAUUGCUAAUGAGGCAUGGAUGGCAAUUCCUUUUGAAGGCCGCCUCUUGGGUUCCCUUUUGUUAAACAGAAAUGUAGACUGCUCUUCAAGCAAAUGAAACUGCCAAAGUACAAGCACUAGAAAUGAAAACUGUGUUGCUCCUUAGAAACUUCUGGGAGUAUUUAAUUUCAGACUUAUCGAUCCUAGUCAUUGAAACAGUGAACUGCAGUGGAGGAGGUUCUUCUGGUUGCUCUUCAACAGUAGCAUACUUGGCUGGUAAAACAGAUUUCAUAGUAUGUGCAUCUCCUGGCACAGAGACUGCAGACAGAAAGCAGCAAUGUGGGUGCCAGGUUGCUUCAAGGGCGUUUUUGGAGAAAGGGCGAAGGAACGAGAGGAGCUUGGACUGCUCUUUUGGUGUAGCAAAAUAGAGAUCCUACAUGUCCUCAAGCAACUCUGCAGGACUGUUCUGAGACCUAUGUCAUUUGCUAACAUUAUAAUAAUGGUUAGGGCUCCUUUAUUUUCUGCCCUGGAGUUUUACAGCAAAACAGGUUUGGUAUUUUUCUGAGAGAGAAAGUUGCUUUCAAGGUGGAUCUAUAUUAGACUCUGACAUUAAGUAUUUCUGAAAUAAUAUUCUGUAGGGAAUGCUGAGUCUCUCUCUUUAUAGGCAGCAGUUCAGAUUUACCUUUUCACAGAGGAUUUUCUCUUUGUGAGACAAAUCUUGCAGCUUGACAGCAUUACCCAGGUCACUGACAGCAGGCAGCAAUCUCAGCCUCUGCAAGGCAUUGAGAUGGAGAAUGUGAAUCAGUUUGCUGGGGGAGGUGCUCACCUUCUGCUAGGCUGUGGCAGGAUGAGGCUGCCUCACAGCUGGGUUCUAACAGCAGAGUGAUUGUGUUAGUGAUUCAGGACAAAUUAUUUUGAAGACAUAUAAAAUUGCACUUCCUCCUUCUGCCAGGCAAACAAAAGAGAGCAAAUGGGUCUGCUCAGCACAGUGAUGCAUUUGUUAGCAGUGCUUGGUAUGGUCUCAGGGAUCCUUUUACUGCUUUUUUUUUUUUCAUAAUAAAAUACCUGGUUAUGUUUACAUAGGCUUAAAGGAUCCCAGAGAGAUUCCAUUCACCAGUGUGUGUGCCUGCUUUUGUUGACUUUACCUGUUUCAGUUCUGUUUAAAACAUUUUCUGGACAGUAAUUGUCGCUCCGUUUUUGUUUGCUAAUUACUCAUGUCUAGUUUAGUAUUAUUUGUUAAUGUUAAUAGUUGCUACUCUCCCAGUUUCCCCAUAUCCUAAUACCGCCUUAUUGACCCAUCGUUUACUUACAGAUUAGCUUGUUUCCAUGUGACUGGUUGUUGCUGUGUCUCCACUUCCCUGAGUCUGGCUGACCUCUUGUCAGUGCCAGGGGACAUAUUCUUUAGUCCUGGCUUUGCUGCAGGCCCUGGGGACUUGCUGCCAUCAGGCAGAGAAUGGCCUGUACCAAGAGAGUGACAAGAAGUGUGAGCAGCGUCCUCUGCUGUGCUGUCUGCCCUGUCUGGAGCAGGGGAGGCUUCUCCAGCUGGUUUGCCAGAUUCACCCAAAUUACAAAGUUGUAGUUCUGCUCAGUACCAGAAUUUGGGAAUCCUUGUCUGGACGGGAUCUGUUAGUCUCCAUGUAGGCUUUUUGUCUUCACACUGGUGGUAACAGCUGUGACAGCUUGAUCCAUGGCAGUUGCCUUAGUUUGUAUGCUUAAAUGAAGAGGUACUGUUCUUUAUCUGCUCCUGGAAAGUACCCUGGGAAGUACCGGUUGUGAGAUGUGGUAGGAUGGCUUAAUGAGGGAGUGGGAUGUCAUUGCAGGAGAAGCACGGAGUGUGAAAGGGAAAAACCUGCAUGUGGUUAUUACGCGGUAGGAACAGUCUGAACUAUUGGAGAGUGAAGGUGCAUGUACUGAGUGUUUGUUUUUCAUUUCAUACACAUUUGUUCUUGUCAGAUGUCAUCUUUCCUUAACAACAUUUGCUGUUAUCCUUUAUUUUAUUCACAAAUUCCAUUUAUGUCAUCUCUCAGCUUUUCUUCAACUAGGCUAAAUUAGCUAAUGGUAAAACUCCGAGUUUUUCAGGCUAUUUUUCUAGUACUCGACAGUAAAACCACAGUACUUCUGGUGCAGACAGUAUGAUACUGCAUUCGAUGAACAUCAGUGAUCUGUGCUCUACCUCCAAGACGGUAUCAAGGUGGCUUAAGCACAUUCUUGCCCUUUCUUCUCUGCCUUGCACUACAUAUUACCAGCACCUUGCUGUUGCCAACGUAACUGUGAAUCCACUCCACAAACAUAUGUCAAAACUCUUAUUUCUUUCCCAGGUUGUCAGCUAGAUCAUCAUUUGCAUUAGGCACAGUGUCUUAUGUGUUCAGUGUCUUUGGCACUGGGUGCCUAAACGAGAGCAAGCACUCUGAGUCCCUGUGUGCAUAUCCAAUUGACCCUUGAAUGGCAGCGUUAACAUAUCAGGCAGAUGUAGCAGCAUUUGUCUGAAUGUUGUAACAGAACAAAUUGGUCCCACGCUGGGACAUCUUGACUUCUAUGUAAAAAUUAAUACAGCAGAAAAAAUUGUAAUUGACUUGUUGUUCAGAGCUUUGCUGCUAGUGAGGAAUUUCAGGAGCUGGAGGAGGGAAGAAAAGACAGUAACCAGACUGGAUGUGGCUCUGGGCAGCCUCGUCUAGUGGUUGGCGACCCUGCACAUAGCAGUGGGGUUGAAACUAGGUGAUCAUUGUGGUCCUUUUCAACCCAUAAAAAAGAAAGAAGAAUUAUAAGUUUAUUUAGGUAAAAUACAUUAAUUCAAAUGCAUUUUGGGGCCAUAGUUGAGAGAGGUUGCUAUGCCAGAAUGAGUUUAUUUACUCUCUCUUUGGAGUUGUCUUUACAGUACCUCUGUGGAGAUGUUACACAUACUCAGCUUGACUACGAGAAACUUUUUUAGUCAUUGUUUCUGUCAAGAGUGACUUUGUUUUAGCCAAGGUAUUCUAUCACUGUAUUGUUUCAGACAUAGUAGUUUUACCACAGUUUGCUGUUGUCAGAAGUCUCUAGAAAAACACAGAACAUUUCUGUGUUAAAUAAGACUCCAUACAGUCAGUUCUGUUACACCAGUGUUUUCUUAAUAUCUUGCUUUGUGUCUCAUUGUAAUGCAUCAGAUAUUAAAUGUGACCUGCUAUUCUUAGAAGGGAAAAUAUCAUGGAUGUUGACAGUACUGUAGAAUGUGCUGCCUAUGUUGUCUUUUUUUCUCUAACUGAAAAUCCUUCCUGUGUUUUUAUGCUGUGCUUUCUUUCAAUAAAAGAAAAACAAAACAACAAAACAAAUCACAAAUUACAUUGAAACAGC